RNAcentral lists this ribosomal RNA (532 nucleotides) under uncultured bacterium. RNAcentral's name for it is "bacterial SSU rRNA". It matches the Rfam family "Bacterial small subunit ribosomal RNA", at positions 979 to 1509 of the family's 1533-position model. The record is from RNAcentral.
UCUUGACAUCCCCCUGAACAGUCUGGAGACAGGCUGGGCCUUCGGGACAGGGGAGACAGGUGGUGCAUGGUUGUCGUCAGCUCGUGUCGUGAGAUGUUGGGCUAAGUCCCGCAACGAGCGCAACCCUUAGUUUUAGUUGCCAGCAUUUCGGAUGGGCACUCUAAAGCGACUGCCGGUGACAAACCGGAGGAAGGUGGGGAUGACGUCAAAUCAUCAUGCCCCUUAUGACCUGGGCUACACACGUACUACAAUGGCCGGUACAACGGGCUGCGAAACCGCGAGGUGGAGCUAAUCCUAGAAAAAGCCGGUCUCAGUUCGGAUUGCAGGCUGCAACUCGCCUGCAUGAAGUCGGAAUUGCUAGUAAUCGCGGAUCAGCAUGCCGCGGUGAAUACGUUCCCGGGUCUUGUACACACCGCCCGUCACACCACGAGAGUUUGCAACACCCGAAGUCGGUGAGGGAACCCUCGGGACCCAGCCGCCGAAGGUGGGGCAGAUGAUUGGGGUGAAGUCGUAACAAGGUAAGCGUAGUGCU